This 460-nucleotide ribosomal RNA is filed under the name uncultured bacterium. RNAcentral describes it as "partial 16S ribosomal RNA". It matches the Rfam family "Bacterial small subunit ribosomal RNA", at positions 338 to 795 of the family's 1533-position model. The record is from RNAcentral.
CCUACGGGUGGCUGCAGUGAGGAAUAUUGGUCAAUGGACGCAAGUCUGAACCAGCCAUGCAGCGUGCAGGAUGAAUGCCCUAUGGGUUGUAAACUGCUUUUAUACGGGAGUAAAGUCAGGUACGUGUGCCUUUUUGUAUGUACUUUAUGAAUAAGGAUCGGCUAACUCCGUGCCAGCAGCCGCGGUAAUACGGAGGAUCCGAGCGUUAUCCGGAUUUAUUGGGUUUAAAGGGAGCGUAGUUGGGUUGUUAAGUCAGUUGUGAAAGUUUGAGGCUCAACCGUGAAACUGCAAUUGAUACUGGCAGACUAGAGUGUAGUUGCGGUAGGCGGAAUGCGUGGUGUAGCGGUGAAAUGCUUAGAUAUCACGAAGAACACCGAUUGCGAAGGCAGCUUACUAAACUGUCACUGACACUGAGGCUCGAAAGUGUGGGUAGCAAACAGGAUUAGAUACCCCAGUAGUC